RNAcentral lists this ribosomal RNA (521 nucleotides) under unidentified nematode Sourhope farm. RNAcentral describes it as "SSU rRNA". It matches the Rfam family "Eukaryotic small subunit ribosomal RNA", at positions 82 to 599 of the family's 1831-position model. The record is from RNAcentral. Lineage: Eukaryota; Metazoa; Nematoda.
UGAAGCCGCGAAUAGCUCAUUACAACAGCCACCGUUUACUAGAAUAUAGUUAUCCUACUUGGAUAACUGUGGCAAUUCUAGAGCUAAUACAUGCAAAAAAGCUCCGCCCGCAAGGAACGAGCGCAUUUAUUAGAAUAAAAACCAAUCGGGUUUCGGCCCGUAAUUUGGUGAAUCUGAAUAACUUUGCCAAUCGCACAGUCCUAGUACUGGCGAUGUAUCUUUCAAGUGUCUGCCUUAUCAACUUUCGAUGGUAGGUUAUACGCCUACCAUGGUAGUAACGGGUAACGGAGAAUAAGGGUUCGACUCCGGAGAGGGAGCCUGAGAAACGGCUACCACAUCCAAGGAAGGCAGCAGGCGCGCAAAUUACCCACUUCCAGAACGGAGAGGUAGUGACGAAAAAUAACGAGACAGUCCUCUUCGAGGUCUGUCAUCGGAAUGGGUACAAUUUAAAUCCUUUAACGAGGAUCUAUUGGAGGGCAAGUCUGGUGCCAGCAGCCGCGGUAAUUCCAGCUCCAAUAGCG